CUACGGGCGGCUCCAGUGGGGAAUAUUGCACAAUGGGCGCAAGCCUGAUGCAGCGACGCCGCGUGAGGGAUGACGGCCUUCGGGUUGUAAACCUCUUUCAGUAGGGAAGAAGCGAAAGUGACGGUACCUGCAGAAGAAGCACCGGCUAACUACGUGCCAGCAGCCGCGGUAAUACGUAGGGUGCGAGCGUUAUCCGGAAUUAUUGGGCGUAAAGAGCUCGUAGGCGGUUUGUCGCGUCUGUCGUGAAAGUCCGGGGCUUAACCCCGGAUCUGCGGUGGGUACGGGCAGACUAGAGUGCAGUAGGGGAGACUGGAAUUCCUGGUGUAGCGGUGGAAUGCGCAGAUAUCAGGAGGAACACCGAUGGCGAAGGCAGGUCUCUGGGCUGUAACUGACGCUGAGGAGCGAAAGCAUGGGGAGCGAACAGGAUUAGAUACCCCCGUAGUC
Molecule: ribosomal RNA, 444 nt
Filed under: uncultured bacterium
Lineage: Bacteria
Description: partial 16S ribosomal RNA
Rfam family: Bacterial small subunit ribosomal RNA
Source: RNAcentral